RNAcentral lists this unclassified non-coding RNA (157 nucleotides) under uncultured Helotiales. RNAcentral's name for it is "sequence contains ITS1". The record is from RNAcentral. Lineage: Eukaryota; Fungi; Ascomycota; Leotiomycetes; Helotiales.
CAGAGUUCAUGCCCUCACGGGUAGACCUCCCACCCUUGAAUAUAUUACCUUCGUUGCUUUGGCGAGCCGCCUCGGCUACCGACCUCGGUUGGUAUGUGCUCGCCAGAGAACAUCAAACUCUGAAUUAAUUUGUCGUCUGAGUACUAUAUAAUAGUUA